MicroRNA precursor from Oryza sativa Japonica Group (Japanese rice), 206 nucleotides. It matches the Rfam family "MIR812 microRNA precursor family". NCBI's taxonomy places the organism in Eukaryota, Viridiplantae, Streptophyta, Magnoliopsida, Poales, Poaceae. The record is from Rfam.
UUUAAGUACAGCCAUGAGUGUCCAUGUUUAAUUUUAAUCGUCCGUCUUAUUUAAAUUGUUUUUAUAAUUAGUAUUUUUGUUGUUAUGAGAUGAUAAAACAUGAAUAUAGUACUUUUAUUCGUGACUUAUUUUUUAAAUUUUUUCAAAAAAAUUUAAAUAAGAUAGACGAUCAAAAUUAAGAGCAAAAAAUCAUGACUGCACUUAAA